RNAcentral lists this ribosomal RNA (266 nucleotides) under uncultured archaeon. Its description in RNAcentral is "partial 16S ribosomal RNA". It matches the Rfam family "Archaeal small subunit ribosomal RNA", at positions 719 to 982 of the family's 1478-position model. The record is from RNAcentral.
ACACGACUACAUUAGAUACCCGUGUAGUCCUAGCCGUAAACGAUACUCGCUAGGUGUCGGCCACGGUGCGACCGUUGUCGGUGCCGUAGGGAAGCCGUGAAGCGAGCCACCUGGGAAGUACGGCCGCAAGGGCUGAAACUUAAAGGAAUUGGCGGGGGAGCACCACAACGGGUGGAGCUUGCGGUUUAAUUGGAUUCAACGCCGGAAAUCUUACCGGGACCGACAGCAACAUGAAGGCCAGGCUGAAGACUUUGCCGGAUUAGCUG